GACUAGGACAUAUGAAAUCGACAUCAAGACACAUUAAUUGGAUGUAAUGAGAUGAACACAUUUACGCUAUGUAAUAACUAAGACAUAUUAAAGACAUGCAUUAAAAUAGAACAUAUUUAACACACAUAGUUAAAAUGUCCAAAUUUUAACAAAUUAAAUACUAACUCAUUAAUUUAUUCCAGCAGCUAAAUGAAUGCAUAAACUAAAAAUAAUAUUAAUAGCAUCGAGCUCAACAAGCUAAGAUUGAGCUAAAUUGAGCUUAAGGAACUGAAACAUGAGCUGAUUCAAGCUCAAUAAACUAGGAUUGAGUUGAACAGCUAGAAAAUGAUUGCAACGCCCGCUUGGAAAACUUGACCAAGAUCGUUCGCAGGGCCUGAUCGUAUCAUUUCCCUCUUCUUCAAAGUGACUUGUCCUCAAGUCAAGUCGUUGGUUUACUUGAAAGCGUUCGCGCAACUUGUCUUGGUUGAAAGGGGCGAAUGGCAAAUGAGUAACCUGAAAUUUAUAGCCAUGCGUUAACAAAAAGCAAUGCAAACAAACUUGUAGUCCAAGGAUAAUCAAAACAAAACAAGUGCAACGCAUGCGAAUGGACAGAUGCAAAAUACCACGUUUGCAAUCAUGCCAACAAAAUAUCUUACUUGUGAAUGUCUAUUCAAACGAUAUAGACAAAAACAGAUAUGUUGUAAGGCAUUCGAAAAUCCCAAUUGGUUUCCACCAAUCAUAGCCUAGAUGCGAGUAAUGAGUCAAAAGAUGUACGUAGGCAUCAGAAAUAGGCAAACGAAAAGAAUUAGAAGAUUCAUGGUCUUGCUUAGUUGGGCAUUGUAAUGACUAUUUAAUCGCAUGCUUUCCAACAAAAUCACGAUGAUCAAAAACAAGAAUCUUUUUAUCAACCACCAAAACAGAUAGAUCAUCAUCAACCAAAUAGAACAAUUAAACACGCCACGAUCUAACUGUUUUACAAAAGCUAAAUCAUCAACACGAUUUUUAACACCACCCAAGGAGAAUAGAAAUGUUUCAAGACUUUCAAGUGUCUUACCUUUAUGAGCAGGAAAAUAAAGAUCGUUUUUACCUCGCUCGAUCAGCACAAACCAUCGCUCUUUGGGGGUAUAGAGAAGUCAAAACUUCGUGGUUGAGUUAACCUUUUCGGAAUGACACGCAAACUUCAUGUACAACCACAGAAAUGGCGUAUGGAACAAAUUUAAAUUGAAAUCAAAUUUGUCAAUCCUCGUUUCGUUAUUUAAAAACCAAGUAUCAAACAAAUAGAAGUUAUUCGCACAAACUUUAAGAUGCUGGUUUUUCCCGCAAAACGAAUCAAAACAUAUUCUGGGUAUAAAAACAUGAGUUUGAUUACUUAUGCCAAAGUGUAGCAAAGGGUUCAGUAAACUGAACAUGUCAAACCGGAAGGAUU
This 1405-nucleotide long non-coding RNA is filed under the name Gossypium barbadense (sea-island cotton). Its description in RNAcentral is "long non-coding RNA (GBAR_LNC020082)". Lineage: Eukaryota; Viridiplantae; Streptophyta; Magnoliopsida; Malvales; Malvaceae. The record is from RNAcentral.